UCCAGAAUCUUCCCUGGUAUUGAUGUCAGACUGACUGGGCGGUAAUUAAAAGAGAGGACCCAAAUAAUUACCGCCCAGUCAGUCUGACAUCAAUACCAGGGAAGAUUCUGGA
Molecule: non-coding RNA, 112 nt
Organism: Podarcis lilfordi (Lilford's wall lizard)
Lineage: Eukaryota; Metazoa; Chordata; Lepidosauria; Squamata; Lacertidae
Source: the annotation of a GenBank genome assembly